This 456-nucleotide ribosomal RNA is filed under the name uncultured bacterium. Its description in RNAcentral is "bacterial SSU rRNA". It matches the Rfam family "Bacterial small subunit ribosomal RNA", at positions 28 to 496 of the family's 1533-position model. The record is from RNAcentral.
GAUGAACGCUAGCGGCAGGCUUAAUACAUGCAAGUCAAGGGGGUAGCAAUACUACCGGCGCACGGGUGAGUAACACGUACAUAACAUACCAUAUACUGGGGUAUAGCUUUGGGAAACUGAAGGUAAUCCCCCAUAACAUUGCGAGAGGGCAUCUGAUUGCAAUUAAAGUUUCGACGGUAUAUGAUUGAUGUGCGUUUGAUUAGCUUGUUGGUAGGGUAACGGCCUACCAAGGCGACGAUCAAUAGCUGGCGUGAGAGCGCGACCAGCCACACUGGAACUGAGACACGGUCCAGACUCCUACGGGAGGCAGCAGUAGGGAAUAUUGGACAAUGGGCGAAAGCCUGAUCCAGCCAUGCCGCGUGAUAGAUGAAGGCCCUCUGGGUUGUAAAUAUCUUUUAUCUGGGAAGAACACUGGUUCGUGAACCAGCUUGACGGUACUGUAAGAAUAAGGAUCGG